This 2433-nucleotide long non-coding RNA is filed under the name Ananas comosus (pineapple). RNAcentral describes it as "long non-coding RNA (ACOM_LNC036612)". Lineage: Eukaryota; Viridiplantae; Streptophyta; Magnoliopsida; Poales; Bromeliaceae. The record is from RNAcentral.
GGGGGCAGGGCAUACAGUUCCCGAGUACAAACCAAGCGAAGCACUAGCUUUCUACACCCGUUGGCUUGCAGGCACAAAGCUCUAAAAAAUGAGGGCAGAAUCAUUAAUUAAUAACGAACAUAUUCUUCUGUAGUUAAUUUUGGAAGCAUAUUCUGCUCAACCUCUAUAGCAUGAUCAAUUUCCAAAAUCGGAGAACCAUUAAGACGGAAGCUGAUGGAUUCACCUUUUGUUGUGUGAAUGGCUUCUGUAACUGUCAACUGCGACCAAAUAAUAUUGCGGCGUGCAACCACUGACAUUUUACUUUCGCGGGAUUAGUGCUUCUCUUUCCCAUUUGGUCUUUGCUUUCCAAUUUUGGCAGCUGUUUGCUAGCUUCCGAGAGGCACAUUUCCCCGCCGGGGUAGGUGUAACUUGGGGCUAAAUCUAGUCGCACUAGAUUAUGAGAUCAUCUUUCCAGAUAGUCCAUUUUCUAAGAUAACCAGAGUCCUUGUGAAGCAUACCCAUUCCAAUUUCCGAAUCAAGAAAGACCAUGUUUGUGAAAGGCUCAAUGGUACGAAGUCUUUGUUUUACCACCUAGUCCACUAUUAGUUUCGAUCUACAUUUAUCAAAACCAUAUAACAUUGUAGAGACCGAUUUUUUAUUAAAUAAAAUUCAAAAGGUUGGGGGAUUCCAUGAAAUUUUAUAGUUUUCAAUGAAAUUAGAUCGUCCCCUUUAAGGUCUGGCAGUGUUGUAAGUCAUGGGAGGGACCAUACUACGAUUUGUUGUAAGUCGUGAGAGGGAUCAUAUUACGAUUUCGUACGAUUAAAGCAUGGUUUGGAGCAAGAAAUGGCAAGGGCAAAUGGUUAGUUGUGGUUUUUUCUGAAAGAAGUGUGAUAUUUAUGUGCCAAAUUGUAAGAAAAUUUAUUGGGAGGUGUCACUAUUCAAAAUAUAUGCACCAAGGGGUUGAAUAAGAAAUUAAAAAUUGGAGGGACUAAAAUGUAAUUUUAUGAAAAGUAUAUAAUAAUUUAGGAUUUUUAACCUUUCUUCUCUCCUCUCUCCUCUCUUCACCCCAGCCACAACUCACCACCCCGUCACCAUCGCUAGCGCUUCUCCAACCCAUGGCGACUUUGCUCUGGCCGGCGAACCUCAACCAUACAAAGCUCUCCAUCUCUCUCUCAACCUUUCUCAACCUAUCUUAUUUCCAUGCCUUCCAACUUGGUUGGGUCGCCCUGAAUCGUUGUCGCCAGCCUCCUGGACUUUUAGCAACCUCCUCCGGCUCUGCCCCACCGCCCCUAGCCCUUACUUGAGCCUCGAUUCUAGUCAGAGCUCAUUAAGGAAGGAUCAUGGCCAGAUCUUUACAUCGGCGGUCGCAAGGCACUACCUCCCUGGCCCUUAUCCCAUCAGGUUUGACCUACCCUGGUCGACAUCAAUCGCCCUAAGCCGCUCGAAGUAGAGAAGAACCCCUAUUGCACCUUACUAUUGCUGGCUAAGGCUCCUCAAGGCCGAGAUACCUGUCGGAUCGUUGGCGCUAACCAUUAAUCCCAAAAGCUCGAGCUGUUAGAAAUACACAACCAAUUCACUUAAAUCGUACAGAAACAGCGCCCACGGGUCUCGAUUGUGACUCGGCCCACCUGGCCUCACGCCACUUCGAACAUGACUCGGCCCAACCCAGCCUUACGCCAUUUCAAACAUGACUCGGCCCACAUGACCUCCCGCCACAGGGCAGGAUGCUGGUCCAUUUAAGCCAACAAUUCCCCCUCUAGCACCUACACACAUUUGCAGCAUGCAGGAAUCGAACCCGUGACCUCUGGCUCUGAUACCACUUGUCGGAUCGUUGGCGCUAACCAUUAAUCCCAAAAGCUCGAGCUGUUAGAAAUACACAACCAAUUCACUUAAAGCGUACAGAAACAGCGCCCACGGGUCUCGAUUGUGACUCGGCCCACCUGGCCUCACGCCACUUCGAACAUGACUCGGCCCAACCCAGCCUCACGCCAUUUCGAACAUGACUCGGCCCACAUGGCCUCCCGCCACAGGGCAGGAUGCUGGCCCAUUUAAACCAACAAUACCUGUUCCAACCAUCUCUGUUGCCAGCGACCCCUCCGUUGUGAAGCAUGACUGGUUGGACCGUAAUGCUCUUGGGUGCUUCUAUAGCACCCAGUGACUAGUGAUUGAGCGACCCCUCUUGGGUGCUUCUAUAGCACCUUGCUCUUCUUCAUUGCAAUAUGAUCGACCCCCAAUCACUGGUUGGACCGUAAUGCUCCCAGGGACUUUUGAGGUUUGAACGCAAGGUUGCUCCAAUUUUGUUAUCAGUAGUUGUUGGUACUCUGGAUCAUGAGAACGGUGUCAAAAACAUUGUUGCCCAUCUAAUGGUGCUAUUGGUCGACUUUCGACUCGUGGAAUCAUCGGUGAGCCUAAACUUCAAUUUCCAUAAUAAUAACAUAGUUAUUUAAAAUGUUG